AGUGAACGCUGGCGGUAGGCCUAACACAUGCAAGUCGAACGGCAGCACAGUAAGAGCUUGCUCUUACGGGUGGCGAGUGGCGGACGGGUGAGGAAUACAUCGGAAUCUACUUUUUCGUGGGGGAUAACGUAGGGAAACUUACGCUAAUACCGCAUACGACCUACGGGUGAAAGCAGGGGAUCUUCGGACCUUGCGCGAUUGAAUGAGCCGAUGUCGGAUUAGCUAGUUGGCGGGGUAAAGGCCCACCAAGUCGACGAUCCGUAGCUCGUCUGAGAGGAUGGUCGGCCACACUGGAACUGAGCCACGGUCCAGACUCCUGCGGGAGGCCGCAGUGGGGAAUGUUGGACAAUGGGCGCAAGCCUGAUCCAGCCAGACCGCGUGGGUGAAGAAGGCCUUCGGGUUGGAAAGCCCUUUUGUUGGGAAAGAAAAGCAGCAGGUUAAUACCCCGCUGUUCUGACGGUACCCGAAGAAGAAGCACCGGCUAACUUCGUG
This 492-nucleotide ribosomal RNA is filed under the name uncultured bacterium. RNAcentral's name for it is "partial 16S ribosomal RNA". It matches the Rfam family "Bacterial small subunit ribosomal RNA", at positions 29 to 507 of the family's 1533-position model. The record is from RNAcentral.